AGGCUCCAUGCCUAGCAUGUAGCCCAACAUGGGGCUUGAACUCACAAUCCUGAGAUCCUGAGAUCAAGACCUGAGCCGAGAUCAAGAGUUGGAUGCUUAACCCAUUGAACCACCCAGGACUCUCAUGAAAUCCCAAGUGGAAAAUUAUCUUAACACUUCACAAAUGGGGUAAGAGUUACUGAAACGUCAGACUUUGCAAAAGUGGGAGAUGAGCUUCUGUGUGGGCAAGUGGCAGACAAUAACUUGAGGGGAAAAUGACCCAAGGAGCAGAAAACUUUGGCUGGGAGAAAGCAAGAGGAAGAACGAGAUCCUGGACUCAAGAGAGGCUGGCAUGACUCGCCCCAGAAUCAACCCUGUGAAGAAGGAGAGAAAUAAAUCCUUUAAAGGCUGUGCUACUCAAGCUGGGAUAAGAACUCCUUUAGGGAUGAGUGGCCAUUUCCAUGAAGUAUAGAAAGCUACAGGAACAUUGUGGAACAUCUUCCUGGAAGUCAGUGAAUGGAGUGAUUUUGGGAAAAGCAUUUUGUUUUAAAUGGCUAAGUAAUAAAUUAUGAAAUAGAAGGCACGAUCUGUACCAAUAUUCAAAGCAAAGACCUCAAAGGAAUUUCAUGCAGCCACAGACAACGGAGGUGCACUCUCUGCUCCUUAAGAGGUGGGAAGGCUUAGGAAGCACUGGUGUAAGGCAAUAAUAACCCCCAACCAUGACACCUCCUCUUCCAUAUCCCUUCCGCAGGGAGUGACAAACAACUGGGAUUUUCUAGGUGUUUACUUCUAAAUUAUUGC
Long non-coding RNA from Mirounga angustirostris (Northern elephant seal), 780 nucleotides. RefSeq lists it as uncharacterized. The transcript is spliced from 4 exons. NCBI's taxonomy places the organism in Eukaryota, Metazoa, Chordata, Mammalia, Carnivora, Phocidae. The record is from RefSeq and is a predicted model, not a curated record.